UAGGGAAUAUUGGUCAAUGGGCGGGAGCCUGAACCAGCCAUGCCGCGUGCGGAAGAAGGCCCUACGGGUCGUAAACCGCUUUUAUACGGGAACAACCGCAGCUACGUGUAGCUGUCUGAGUGUACCGUAGGAAUAAGGAUCGGCUAACUCCGUGCCAGCAGCCGCGGUAAUACGAAGGGUGCAAGCGUUAAUCGGAAUUACUGGGCGUAAAGCGCGCGUAGGUGGUUAGGUAAGUUGGAUGUGAAAGCCCUGGGCUCAACCUGGGAACUGCAUCCAAAAACUGCUUGGCUAGAGUACGGUAGAGGGUAGUGGAAUUUCCUGUGUAGCGGUGAAAAUGCGUAGAUAUAGGAAGGAACACCAGUGGCGAAAGGCGACUACCUGGACUGAUACUGACACUGAGGUGCGAAAGCGUGGGGAGCAAACAGGAUUAGAUACC
This 436-nucleotide ribosomal RNA is filed under the name uncultured bacterium. Its description in RNAcentral is "bacterial SSU rRNA". It matches the Rfam family "Bacterial small subunit ribosomal RNA", at positions 355 to 786 of the family's 1533-position model. The record is from RNAcentral.